AGUUUUCUCCGAGCCUUUCGAGCCUUUGCUUCAACUCGCUUCUAAAUUAAAACAAAAUUUAUAUUUUCCUUCAAAUUUUAAUCGCAAUUCAAGUCAAUUUCAAAAUGUGCGGAGGCGGUUGUGGAGGCUGUGGCCCAUGCGGAGGCUGUGGCCCAUGCGGUGGUUGUGGACCCUGCUGCGUCUGUCCCACGCGCUACUUGAAGAGAUCAGAGGAGCAUAUGCCCUGUGUGUGGUGUGCACCAUGCAAAGCUCAUUGCUACAACACCCCACCCAAGUGCUGUUGCUAGAGGCCUAAGAGCUUUGCAUCGGUACGGAGUCUCCUUUAAGGAAAAUCUUAUAGCUAAAUACCAACUCCACUACUUAUCCUAUUCUUACUGUCGAAAAAUAAGAGGAAUUAUCGUGAUGUGAGCUUCGGUUAAUAGUGAUUGUAAAACUGCGAAGAUCGUCAAUUUGGAAGCAGGUUGGACCUAAAAGGAUGGCAGAAGGCUUUUGAGCUUGAGCAUGGACUCUCGAAUAUCAGGCAUUACCAUAAGGCAUGGUAAAUACUAAGCCAAACUUCUAUCAACCGAGACUCUUGACUCGACUCAUUAAGAAGAAGGUGGCCUCUAUUCGUAUAAGCGCAUACGAAUGCGACCUGAUCGAAAACAAAGUGUCAAGCUCAUUUUAAAUUGUUAAAUUCAAAAUCUUCAAUUUUAUAAACAAUUCAGAACUAUUAUG
This 717-nucleotide small RNA is filed under the name Drosophila mojavensis. RNAcentral's name for it is "GI27074". The record is from RNAcentral. Lineage: Eukaryota; Metazoa; Arthropoda; Insecta; Diptera; Drosophilidae.